RNAcentral lists this ribosomal RNA (253 nucleotides) under uncultured bacterium. RNAcentral's name for it is "partial 16S ribosomal RNA". It matches the Rfam family "Bacterial small subunit ribosomal RNA", at positions 524 to 776 of the family's 1533-position model. The record is from RNAcentral.
AACGUAGGGAGCAAGCGUUGUCCGGAAUCAUUGGGCGUAAAGCGCGCGUAGGUGGCCUCGUAAGUCCGCUGUGAAAGUCAAAGGCUCAACCUUUGAAAGCCGGUGGAUACUGUGAGGCUAGAGUACGGAAGAGGCGAGUGGAAUUCCUGGUGUAGCGGUGGAAUGCGCAGAUAUCAGGAGGAACACCAAUAGCGAAGGCGGCUCUCUGGGACGGUACUGACGCUGAGACGCGAAAGCGUGGGGAGCGAACAGG